CCUCGGAUCAGGUAGGGAUACCCGCUGAACUUAAGCAUAUCAAUAAGCGGAGGAAAAGAAACCAACCGGGAUUGCCUCAGUAACGGCGAGUGAAGCGGCAAGAGCUCAAAUUUGAAAGCUGGCUCCUUCGGGGUCCGCAUUGUAAUUUGCAGAGGAUGCUUCGGGUGCGGCCCCUGUCUAAGUGCCCUGGAACGGGCUGUCAGAGAGGGUGAGAAUCCCGUCUGGGAUGGGGUGUCCGCGCCCGUGUGAAGCUCCUUCGACGAGUCGAGUUGUUUGGGAAUGCAGCUCUAAAUGGGUGGUAAAUUUCAUCUAAAGCUAAAUAUUGGCCGGAGACCGAUAGCGCACAAGUAGAGUGAUCGAAAGAUGAAAAGCACUUUGAAAAGAGAGUUAAACAGCACGUGAAAUUGUUGAAAGGGAAGCGCUUGCGACCAGACUCGCCCGCGGGGUUCAGCCGGCAUUCGUGCCGGUGUACUUCCCCGUGGGCGGGCCAGCGUCGGUUUGGGCGGCCGGUCAGCGGCUCCCGGAAUGUAGCGCCUCUCGGGGCGCCUUAUAGCCGGGGGUGCAGUGCGGCCAGCCUGGACCGAGGAACGCGCUUCGGCACGGACGCUGGCAUAAUGGUCGUAAACGACC
Molecule: ribosomal RNA, 630 nt
Filed under: Aspergillus candidus
Lineage: Eukaryota; Fungi; Ascomycota; Eurotiomycetes; Eurotiales; Aspergillaceae
Also listed under: 1 other name
Description: eukaryotic LSU rRNA
Rfam family: Eukaryotic large subunit ribosomal RNA
Source: RNAcentral